CUACGGGAGGCACCAGUGAGGAAUAUUGCACAAUGGGGGGAACCCUGAUGCAGCAACGCCGCGUGGAGGAUGACGCAUUUCGGUGUGUAAACUCCUUUUAUAUGUCAAGAAAAUGACGGUAGCAUAUGAAUAAGCACCGGCUAACUCCGUGCCAGCAGCCGCGGUAAUACGGAGGGUGCAAGCGUUACUCGGAACCACUGGGCGUAAAGGACGCGUAGGCGGGUUGGAAAGUCAGGUGUGAAAUCCUACAGCUUAACUGUAGAACUGCACUUGAAACUUCUAAUCUAGAGUAUGGGAGGGGGAGAUGGAAUUAGUGGUGUAGGGGUAAGAUCCGUAGAUAUCACUAGGAAUACCUAAAGCGAAGGCGAUCUCCUGGAACAUUACUGACGCUAAGGCGUGAAAGCGUGGGGAGCAAACAGGAUUAGAUACCCGAGUAGUC
Molecule: ribosomal RNA, 439 nt
Filed under: uncultured bacterium
Lineage: Bacteria
Description: partial 16S ribosomal RNA
Rfam family: Bacterial small subunit ribosomal RNA
Source: RNAcentral